CUUGUCUCAGAGUCCUGGGCUCAAGCCAUCUUCCUACCUUGGUCUCCCAAAGUGCCGGGAUUACUCGCAGGAGCCACCACACCCAGCCUGGGGUUUGCAUUAAAACCAGGAAAGGGACCUCUGGAGCCCAAGAAGGCAGAUCCUUUGAGUGUAAAUUUAAUUGGGAACACUAAAUCAUGCCUUGCAAAUAACAGGCAGUAAGAACAGCUCUGAGUUAUAAACCAGAUGAGGUUUUUUACUCAUGGCUCAGGAUGUCCUAAAUUGAAAAGGAAUUCCAAAAAAUUUGAAAGAAAAGCAGCUUUCUAGAAUAAAUGUCAUUUCUCAUAGGCAUUUUUGUUUUUUUUUUUCUUGAAAUAGUUUAUUUGAUGUCUUUUAUUCCAUAUAUGUGGGUUUUCUGGCAAAAUUUGAAAGGGGAAUGGGAAUAAGAGUAGUAAGAUAGGUUUUAAAAAUGAGAUAUUUAAAAUUUAUUUGAGUAACAAUUCUGUAAUAUCCUCCCUGCUCUUAUACAGUCAUGUGCUGAAUAACAACAUCAAGUCAGUGAUGGACUGCAUAUGUGACGGUGCUCCCAUAAGAUUACAAAUUUUGUAGAGAUGGGGUCUCGCUAUGUUGCCCAGGCUGGUCUUCAACUCCUGGCCUCAAGUGAUCCUCCUGCCUUGGCCACCUCCCAAAGUGUUGGGAUUAACAGGCGUGAGCUGCCAUGUUCAGCCAUAAUACCAUGUUUACUGUACUUUUUCUAUGUUUAGGUAUGUUUAAGUACACAAAUACUACCAGUGUGUUACAACUGCCUAUGGUAUUUAGUGCAGUAACAUGCUGUACAGUUUAGCCUAGGAGCAAUAGGCCCUACCAUGUAUGUAGCUUAGGUGUGUAGUAAGCUACGCUGUCUUAGUUUGGGUAAAUAUGUUCUAUGAUGUUCACACAACAAAUCACCUAACAACGCAUUUCUUGACUGUAUUUUUUACUGUUUUCGAUAAAUAACUUGAUCUGUUUCUUAAUGUUUAAAACCAAAUCUGAUUUAAAUAGGAACAGAGUUCUGAAUUUUAGUUUUGUUGUCGUGAAAAAUCAGAAUUAACAAAUCUUGAUCUUUGAAGCAAAUGUGAGUUUUAAACAUUUAAUGUAAAAUACUGUGAAAAGUGUUACCGCUCUUUUAGAAUAUUAGACCUUUAGCAGGUCUUGCAGUCUUCACCAGAAACACUCCCACACCUACACACACACAAAGUGUUUUUUUUUUUUUUUUUAGACGGAGUCUCGCUCUGUCACCCAGGCUGAAGUGCAGUGGUGCGAUCUCAGCUCACUGCAAGCUCCGCCUCCUGGGUUCACGCCAUUCUCCUGCCUCAGCCUCCCGAGUAGCUGGGACUGUAGACGCCUGCCACCAUGCCCGGCUAAUUUUUCUGUAUUGUUAGUAGAGAUGGGGUUUCACUGUGUUAGCCAGGAUGGUCUUGAUCUCCUGAUCUCGUGACCCGCCUGCCUCGGCCUCCCAAAGCGCUGGGAUUACAGGCAUGAGCCACCACACCUGGCCCACACACAAGUAUUUUUUUUUUUUAAAAAAAGAUAAAAUGCUGUGAAAGUUAUUUAAAUAUUUGUCUCAGUUAAAGCCUUUUUUUUUCCCAUUUGUAACAGUGUGACUGGUGUCUUAACCAGUGUGACUUCCUCUGACUUACUAAUGUUCACUCUUUGAGACAAAAUUUAAAAGCUUUAAUGGAAAAGUGUGAUUUUUGCUGUGAGAAUUUGAUUAACUCUCAAUUCAUUCUUUCAGUACUCGGGUUUCAUAUUUUGCUGUUUUUGAUGGACAUGGAGGAAUUCGAGCCUCAAAAUUUGCCGCACAGAAUUUGCAUCAGAACUUAAUCAGAAAAUUUCCUAAAGGAGAUGUAAUCAGUGUAGAGAAAACCGUGAAGAGAUGCCUUUUGGACACUUUCAAGCAUACUGAUGAAGAGUUCCUUAAACAAGCUUCCAGCCAGAAGCCUGCUUGGAAAGAUGGGUCCACUGCCACGUGUGUUCUGGCUGUAGACAACAUUCUUUAUAUUGCCAACCUCGGAGAUAGUCGGGCGAUCUUGUGUCGUUACAAUGAGGAGAGUCAAAAACAUGCAGCCUUAAGCCUCAGCAAAGAGCAUAAUCCAACUCAGUAUGAAGAGCGGAUGAGGAUACAGAAGGCUGGAGGAAAUGUCAGGGAUGGGCGUGUUUUGGGCGUGCUAGAGGUGUCCCGCUCCAUUGGGGAUGGGCAGUACAAGCGCUGCGGUGUCACCUCUGUGCCCGACAUCAGACGCUGCCAGCUGACCCCCAAUGACAGGUUCAUUUUGUUGGCCUGUGAUGGGCUCUUCAAGGUCUUUACCCCAGAAGAAGCCGUGAACUUCAUCUUGUCCUGUCUCGAGGAUGAGAAGAUCCAGACCCGGGAAGGGAAGUCUGCAGUCGACGCCCGCUACGAAGCAGCCUGCAACAGGCUGGCCAACAAGGCGGUGCAGCGGGGCUCGGCCGACAACGUCACCGUGAUGGUGGUGCGGAUAGGGCACUGAGGGGUGGCGCGCGGCCAGGAGCACGCAUGGUAUCGACUUAAAAGGUUCAUUUUGUGUGUGUGCACAUUGUGUGUUUUGUGUACUCCUGUGGGACUCCCAUGGUUGUAAAUAAAGGUUUCUCUUUUUU
This 2634-nucleotide small RNA is filed under the name Pongo abelii (Sumatran orangutan). RNAcentral's name for it is "retained intron". The record is from RNAcentral. Lineage: Eukaryota; Metazoa; Chordata; Mammalia; Primates; Hominidae.